AGGUAACUCCUGCACUGCAUGUUAGUCAAAUGAGUGCUAAAUUUUCAAAACGCUUUUAGACCAAGUUCAACGUACCGAUUAAACUUAUUGUUAGUAGAUAUGUAUUCAAGCAUAUUUUAUUAACGUGAAAAAAUAUUUAAAAUGAUAGUUUUGCAAAAUUAUCAACUGCGAUAUAGAUGCAAAUUUGCAUGAUGACAUAUUUUCACAGUCCGAGAAUCGCUGGUUGGCUCUGUGAAUGACUCAAAUCAUUCGAAUUGCGCCAUCGAUUGCUUCAAUUACUUACGAGCGAGCGUAAACCUAUCAAAUCACGUUCAUUUCGAAGCGAUAAGUGAUAAGAAAUUUACGCGAAUUUGGG
Venturia canescens is the source of this 355-nucleotide long non-coding RNA. RefSeq lists it as uncharacterized. The transcript is spliced from 3 exons. The record is from RefSeq and is a predicted model, not a curated record. NCBI's taxonomy places the organism in Eukaryota, Metazoa, Arthropoda, Insecta, Hymenoptera, Ichneumonidae.